UACGUAGGGGGCAAGCGUUGUCCGGAUUUACUGGGCGUAAAGAGCGUGUAGGCGGCCAAACAGGUCCGUUGUGAAAACUGGAGGCUCAACCUCCAGACGUCGACGGAAACCGUAUGGCUAGAGUCCGGAAGAGGAGAGUGGAACUCCUGGUGUAGCGGUGAAAUGCGCAGAUAUCAGGAAGAACACCUAUGGCGAAGGCAGCUCGCUGGGACGGUACUGACGCUGAGACGCGAAAGCGUGGGGAGCGAACAGG
This 253-nucleotide ribosomal RNA is filed under the name uncultured bacterium. RNAcentral's name for it is "partial 16S ribosomal RNA". It matches the Rfam family "Bacterial small subunit ribosomal RNA", at positions 524 to 776 of the family's 1533-position model. The record is from RNAcentral.